CUGCGUCUUCUGGCUCAACAUCGCGGCGGCCCUCAUCCAGACCCUCACGGCCAUCGUCAUGGUGGGCUGGAUCAUGAGCAUCUUCUGGGGCAUGGACAUGGUCAUCCUCGCCAGCUACAAGGAGCAGGGCAUCCCACAGCAGCUGUGAGCCCGAAGGAGCCGCCAAGAACUCCGGGGUGGUCCGUGAGGGCCGCACCAGGCAGCGGCGGACACAAGGACCCUUACGUCUUCUCUUCUGCCGUGUCCCGGGUUUGGAGCGCCAAGUGGGGGCGAUUUAGAAAGAUAUUUAUUUCGAAGACACAUCUGCUUUUUUUGGCAGGCUGUGAGGCUGCCCACCCCUCCCCCUGCUCCAGAAAGACGCGGGAGCCCCGAGCAUCUCAAGCGGGGUAGGGAGUGGGGUCAGGAUUGCUGACGGCGAAGCUGGCAUCCUGGGCUCACCCCUGCCUCGCACGGCUCCCUGGGUCCCCCCAAGCGUCUCCUGGCCCUGCCUCUCCUUUCUGCAGCCCACGCUUUGCCCACUCCCUUCCUCAUGGCUCAAAUCUCUGGGCCCGCUUGUGUUUCGAUCUUUGCUUCCCUGGAAGGAGGCCAGUGACCCCCACCCCCCCCAGACCAGAAUCCCCAACGAAGGCCAGAAGCUUUCUCGUUACACUUAACUCCGCUUCCGGCCCGCGGCCCUCCGGAAAUCCUCGGGGCUGGACGGGUCUCGGAAUUCCAAAAACCCGGAUCCGAGAAAGAACGAGAGACGUUUACCGCCCGUUUCCUGCUGCCCAGUCGGGACCAGCUCCCCGCCGUCAAGCACAGGACCGUUUCUGCGGAGAGACGUGUGAACGGUCGGGCCGAUUGGGAUCAAUAAAAACGCCAAAUAGCGUCACCUUGUUGGUUCAGGUCAGAUUUGGGCCUCAGGAAGCGACGGAAGGAAACCCAGCAUUCGAGAGCGUUCGGGGAUAUAGAGCGGCAAAAAAAGAAAACUAGGAGUCGUGCCCUUCUCUCCGGAAGUCCCUCUUGCGCACGAGUCCCCGGGGACGUUGCUGUUGUGACGGGGGUUCCUCCCGCUGCAAAGGGACAGUCGGGGCCUUUGCGGCACCUGCGUAAAAGAUUGUGAGUUGGAUCCUGGAGGGGGAGGGGGGCAGGAGCUCACGGAAGUUGUUCGGGCCACUGCGGGUCGAGUGUUGAUCUGAGGUUAAGAGAAAGGAGAUCCAAGGUCAUGUGACAGGUGGACAUCUGCACGCCCGUUUUCGUCUCGCGGGAAUUGCUAAACCGUGGGUCUGGCUCCAAGCUGUUUGCGGGCCUGGGGCUCCCCGUGGAGAAGUGGAACCCCCCCCCCCCCGGCCGCAGCCCCUACCCACCACCCCCAGCGCCGAGUCGGAGGCGGCCCGAUCCGGCCCCUCUGCCAGCCGCUUGGCUUUGACCACCGCCCGGUCCUCUCCCGUGGCCGCCCGGGGCCGGCCUGCACUUCCUAAACCCCUGGCUGUGUCCGUCUUCCUGUCCUUUCCCCCCUGACCCAGCCAGGCCUCUCUGCUGCUGCUUCCGUGUUUGCGAUCCUGUGCGUUUUCAACGCGUGGGACCAGGCUUGGUUUUCUGCAGAAAGGCAGAACCUGCCGGUGGGUGAAGACGGCGUCGUCUGGGCCAGGAAGAGACCAGGAGGCUGCUGGGAGCAGAGGAUCUUGCCUUCCGGCCGCGGAGGGGCAGAGAGGAAAGAGCAGUCUCCGUGGCACGUUUAGUGGCAGUCCAGACACAGGCGGGGUUUUCCUGGGUGACAAGUGUCACCCUGAGCCCGGUGGGGGCGGCCUACUACAGGGCUCGGUGGGCUCGGAAGGCCCAUUCCCCUGGGCACCCCCGCCUCCGAGGCUCCCCUCCGCUGCCACCUGCUUCGGAACCGGAGAGUCCGUGAGGAUCGCCUCACCGGGGAGCAGCCCACUGUGGCCUGAGUGUCACCGUCCUCAGGUGACGGCCAGUGGCCAGUGGCCUCCAAGGAGUCUGAGGUGGCCGCUCGGGCUGUUGGAAGUUCAGCCGAUUCGUUAAACGGCAGCCAGCUGCAAAGUAGGGUUCCCGUGAGCAAGUGACGCAGCACACGGGCGAUGGCCCCGAGGUCCCGGGCUCACCCCAGGUGCGGCCUCUCGGUGCUCACGCUUCUGCAGGAUGCCCCCCAGCCGCGGGUGUCUGGGGCAGGGACCUCAGGCACACAGAGAAGGCCGCAGCACACGGGAUACACCCAGGACCCUGCGGUGGCCCUCGGACCGGAGCGGCAGUUCCUGAGGCAAGAAGGAGCCACCGGGACCCGGGGGCGUCCCGUGCAUGGUGGAGACUGUUCAGUUCCGAGUCCGCGGUAAAGUCCAGGACCUCCGGCCGGGAGGCCCAAGCCCCGUGGGAGCGGCGGGGGAUGGGGGACGUCGGGCCCCGGUCCCUGCACCUUUCUGGCCGCUGUGGGGCGGGGGCCACAGUGGGGCCGACACGCUCCAGCUGCCCCUCUGCCCCGGCUUCAGAAGCGGCAGGCCUGGCCUUGGAGCCCGUCCCCGGCUGCACUUGAGGGGGCGUAAAGAAGGGACCAGGAGCAAGAUGCCUUCCCUGUGUGGCCCCAGAGCCGUGUGUCAGCCCCGACGACGGGGGAGCUGCCCGGUCCUAACACGGAGGACCAGGCCCCCCGCUGUCCCCGCCUGGGGGCUCCGGGCGCUCUGACCACCACUCCCAGAGGCAGGGCCGUGACUUCAGCUUCAUGCGGACGCCCCGAGGGCCGAGGAGCAGUGGGCAGGACACGUAGAGACAGUGGCAGAAGCCACACGGUCACCAUUCGCCCGGGAAGAACAGGGACCCGGGCGUCAGAAGGAAAAUCCCAACACUGAGCCCUGAGGCCAGCGCAAGGCGGGGGCUGAGUCCCCAGGAGGAGAGAAGGCCUUCUGGAGGCCUGGGGCUCUCCAGGGGGAAGGCUGUCCCUUUCGCCACAGCUCAGCUCUUAAAAAUGCAAAAGUAAGUCUCAGAUGCUUUCUUCCCGAACCCCCAUCCCUGCACAGAGGGGUGAGUUUGCGAGGGUUACUUUGGUUUUGCCUGGAUCCUGCGCCCCGGGCCCCUCCGGCUGCCACGACACUCGCUGUUUUCACCCCGUUGGUGGCAUUGGCAGAGAAAGCCCAGGUGUGUCGCGUCAACCGCUUAGGGACCCGGAACUUAGACCCAAGCCCCCCAGGUGGUGGCCGCAGACCUUGUUCAGCAUGUUUAUUACUCCCGCUUGCUGGUUGGUUUGGAGGGCUUUCCUCAGAGGGACCUUAGGUGGGUCCCAGAUGCACUGUGACCCUCCCUGGAGACCGUGACUUUGCACGUGCGGGAGCCGUCCGGAGCCACUGCUGACCGCGAACCUGCCCCGGGGCUGAGCAGAGACGGGCUUCCUUCUUCUCAGCGGUCCCCCCUGUGCUGGCGGCAGGUGGUUCUCGAAGGUGGGGCUGCCUGCCCUGCAUUUGUAUCCAGAGAGCACUCCGUGGACGCUGGUGUGGACUGACGGGGGUCUCCCGGUGCCCUGGCCGCCACGCCCUGCCCUUCCCGCCCUCGGGGGGAACAGCAAAGUGAGUGGAGGCAGGAGGGGCGCCUCUCCCCGCGGAGGGCGCCGUGUGUGUGUCGGGAUGGUGAGGCCAGGCAGUGGGAAGGGAGGCCGGGAGCGGCCUGAGCAGGUGGGCGAUGUUCGGGCUCCCGCGUUCUUCACCCGCCGGGCUCUUAGGGCUUCAGAACGCUCACGGGGUCGCGGGCGUGCAAGCCACGUGGGACCCUCCCCGUGGUGAUGCGUGGGGCACCUCGGGGGUGACUUCCAGCUUCCGUGCCGUUCGUCUCUCCUCCCGGCUCGUGCCUCCGUUUGACAAGGGGGGGCUGGGCAGCCAACGCCGGUCGGUCCCUUUUCUCUCCGAGCCAAGGGCCUGGAGGACGACGAGCCCAACCCCGGGCGACCCUCGAUUCCACGGCCCCGUCCCGAUCCUGUCACAGCGGGAGGCAGAGGACAGGGUCGCACGAGUACGGGUCCUGUUUCCAGUACAGCUUGUCUCUCUCCUCGGCUUUGGUCCCCGGCCCCUCCCUUCCUGCCUGGAUUUGCCAAAAUGCCAGCCACCCGCAGUCCGUCCCGGGCCACCGUCACCGUAGGUGAGGCGCACAGACAGGUGCACGCUGUCACACACGCGUGCAGCACCGCACGCACACACACGUGUGCUCACAGCCCCUUUGGCGGCUGGGUGAGGACGGGACUCUGGGGACUUAGGACUGGGUGUUUCAUGUCCGCAGAGGGGCCUCUCACACCCCCCGGGAGCCGUCCCUCCAGAGUGGCUCUGGCGGGCACAGUCCCCUUUACCAUCUGCAGGGCCCUGGGCCUGGAGCUCUUCCUCCUGGGGACCCUUGGCUCAACACCCCCACCCACCAAACCCAGCUGUGCUCGUCCGCCACGCCUGGCUUGUGGGAGGGACAGCGUGGGUCUGCCCAGAGCGGCGGGGACCGUGAUCCCUUUCUGGGCCCUUCUGGGGCUAGACGGUCCUCUCCUCUGAGGCUCCUUUUCCCACAACCCUCCCACCGGCCCCAGGAUGGGAAGCAGCGGGGAGAGAAGGGGACGGAGGUCAGGCCCACCCCGCCUUCUGGGUCAGCGCCUGGCUGGGCGUCCCCACCGGGGAGCAGGCGAUGGUGGCCGUAACUGGCCGGGCACCCCGUGGGAGCACUUGGCUGGCCCUCUGCACAGGCCGAGUGAUAGGCCUGUCGUAGCUGGUGCCAAACUUUUUUAAACAACAUACAUAAACACAAGCCUGGGUGUGUGCAUAUUAGCCGAAUUUAUAUUUGGACGAGUGUUGUGUUGAGACUUGGAGUUUUUGACCCGUGAUUGACUGUUUGGGUCUCUCUUCCUUCUGUUAAGCAAAUCCCUGUACGUUUCCGUGGUUCUCUGGCAAGACCCGCUGCCCGGUCUCCCAGGGCUCGCUCUUUCUACUCCUGCCUAGACCCACAGCGGCUUCACCCCACCCGCGGCCACUUCCCUUGGGGUCCUACGAGCCUGCCAAGGCGGUUUUCCGGCGCAUUCCGUGGACGGGAGCCUUCCUCGGUUCUAUGAGAGGGAGAAAGUCUCAGGUUGGGGACCUGGGGAAGCUUCCAGACUUGCAGCCUGGGGCCCAGGCCUGCAGCUUUGCCUUCCCAGUGUUCUCAGGACGGAGCCCUCGGCAGGCCCGCCCGCCACUGCCCGGGGCCCCUCUGCUGCCCGGGGCCCCGCGCCCCUCGAGGUGCCGAGCAGGGCCCCGACUUCCCCAGCGCCCCGCCAGCUUCAGAAGUCACAGCCCAAACGCCAUGCCGUAUACGUCAUGGCAGACAGCGUGCAUGACGCUAGGAACCUGUAUACAUAGCCCCGUGUACAUAUUUAUAUAUUCCUAUUAUAGAUACACAAAGCAUGGCAAUCCUUUGGCAUUCCAAAUCUGUGUUUUUUUAAAUCCUGAAAUACAACUUUAGACACCUUUUCUUCCUGUUUCUCUUUUCUAUGUAAUAAACGUUCAUGUGACCUUUCUGGUGGCUUCUCAA
Herpailurus yagouaroundi (jaguarundi) is the source of this 5520-nucleotide long non-coding RNA. RefSeq lists it as uncharacterized. NCBI's taxonomy places the organism in Eukaryota, Metazoa, Chordata, Mammalia, Carnivora, Felidae. The transcript has 2 exons. The record is from RefSeq and is a predicted model, not a curated record.